UUAACAUUAGAAAACAAGAGCCUUCAAAGCCCUAAAUAGAGGAAAAUCCCACCCCUAGUUUCUG
RNAcentral lists this transfer RNA (64 nucleotides) under Bavayia geitaina. RNAcentral's name for it is "partial tRNA-Trp". Lineage: Eukaryota; Metazoa; Chordata; Lepidosauria; Squamata; Diplodactylidae. The record is from RNAcentral.